RNAcentral lists this ribosomal RNA (465 nucleotides) under Triticum aestivum (bread wheat). RNAcentral's name for it is "partial small subunit ribosomal RNA". Lineage: Eukaryota; Viridiplantae; Streptophyta; Magnoliopsida; Poales; Poaceae. The record is from RNAcentral.
AUGCCGUCACAACGGAAGAUUUCGGCCUUGCAAGCAUUUGAAAUUGAAACAGCAGAUGAUUCAGGAAUUGUACCUAAAAGAGCCCAUGAGUUAGCAAGUCGACAAGUUGGUGGUCCACUGAACCUUGGCUACACAUGUCGUGAUCAAAUAGCGAAUAUCUUUUGGGUUGAUGCAAAGAUGAUCAUUAACUAUGCUCAUUUCGGUGAUGUUGUUACUUUCGAUACAACAUUUGGGACAAACAAAGAGUACAGACCCUUCGGUGUGUUUGUUGGAUUCAACCAUUUUAGAGAAAUGGUCAUUUUUGGUGCUGCACUUUUAUAUGAUGAGACAUUUGAAUCAUUCAAAUGGUUGUUCAACACGUUCCUAUCAUUGCAUAACAAGAAAAAAAAGACGAGGAGGGACCAAAUGUACUUGCUGAUUUCAGCGCUUGCAUGUAAAAGUAUGAGGAAGAGGAAGCCUUUGUAG